Molecule: non-coding RNA, 5024 nt
Organism: Drosophila suzukii
Lineage: Eukaryota; Metazoa; Arthropoda; Insecta; Diptera; Drosophilidae
Source: RefSeq, a predicted model, not a curated record
CGUUGGCCCCUUGAGUUAGAAAGUUUUAAUUAUUCGAUAGCACAUAGGCCGGGUUCAUGUAUGGCUCAUGUCGAUGCACUAAGUAGGCAAACGGAGUUGUUAGCUGAUGACGUUGUUGAAGGAGUUUACGAUCCGUGUGUGACACCGUCUAUGAUUAAAAAUCCGUGUGUACCUAAAAUACCUUGUGAACCUGAAAACCCGGUUGAACCUAAAAUACCUUGUAAACCUGAAAACCCGGUGGAACCUAAAAUACCUUGUGAACCUGAAAACCCGGUUGAACCUAAAUAACCUUGUAAACCUGAAAAUUCGAUUGAAUCCGUGAAAGUAUUCCCCGAAGUUAGUAAACUUGUUGGAAGUGUUGGAGCAGACCCAUGCGACAUUGACUUGCUUUUGCAAACGGAGCAGAUGAGGGAUGACGAAGUGCGUACCUUGCGACAGAAAUUGGAGAAAGGAGAGAUAGAACGGUUUGUUUUAAUUGAUGGAAUAAUUUAUAGAAAGAAUGAUAACGGAAGGUUAUGUUUGUAUGCCCCAACUCAAAUGCAAGAACAGUUGAUCAGAUUAAGUCAUGAAAAGUUCGGUCACCUUGGAGUUGAUAAAUGUGUUGAUGACCUGAAAAAUAAGUAUUGGUUUCCGUUGUUGAGAAGCAAAGUUGAAUCCUUUAUUCGCAAUUGUUUGCCAUGCAUCCUUCAUUAAGUACCUAAAAGUGUCCAUGACCGUACCCUCCAUAGUAUUCCGAAGGUCUCAAUUCCGUUUGAUACCAUUUACAUUGACCAUUUGGGUCCGUUGCCUUGUAUCAAUUCAAAAAGAAAACACCUGUUAGUUACUAUCGACGCUUUUACCAAAUUCGUGAAAUUGUACCCAGUUCAUUCUACCAGUACCAAAGAAGUUAAUGCCAGUCUUUCAAAGUACUUUGAGUAUUAUAGCCGACCGCGACGAAUUAUUUCGGAUCGUGGUACCUGUUUUACAUCAUUUGAGUUUUCUAGUUUAUUAAGUGAGAGAAAUAUAGGGCUCGUUAAAGUUGCUACCGCAGCCCCUCAGGCGAACGGUCAGGUGGAACGCAAAAACAUAGUGUUAACCCCGAUGUUAGGUAAACUAUCCGAGCCGUUGAACCAAUCCGAUUGGUACAAGUUGGUCAACCGAGUUGAAUUUGCAAUUAAUAAUUCCGUUCAGAAGAAUACUGGAAAAACUCCUAGUAUUUUGCUUUUUGGUAGCAACCAGCGAAGACCCGUUCUAGACGAAUUAUCCGAAUAUCUUGAGGAGAAGUUUAGCCUUUCUAACCCGUGUGAUAUUACAUCCGAAAGGAUAAAAGCUAAUGAGAAUAUUAAACGGUCACAAGCUCGUAAUGAAUCCAUAUAUGCCCUAAGACACAAAGCACUCAUGAAGUAUAAUAAUAAUGACUUUGUUGCUAUUCGCAAUGUUGAUGUUAGGCCUGGACAUUGUAAGAAAUUCGCACCUAAAUACCGUGGGCCAUACAAAAUUAGUCGAGUACUUCCCAACGAUCGCUACGAGGUAACCGAUAUAAAAGAUUGUCAGCUCACACAACUGCCUUAUAGAGAAAUACUGGAAGCUGCAAGGUUAAAGCCGUGGAUGCAAGUGUGUAAUAAGACUGUAGGAUUGUGCGUGUGAUGAACGAGGCCGAUCAAAUGUCAGGUUGCCCGAAUGUAAACAUCUAGUCAAUAUCAUGACGAACUAGUAGCUUUAGGUGUGAAUUGUACAUAUAUAAUAAUCGAUAAGUGAUGUGAACCGAUAGACGGACACAUAAAUUUAAGAUAGGAUUUAAGAGAACGAGGGGACGGUCACUUUAGACCGGCUUUUGGUGAGAAGAACUAGUUUUUGGAGAGCAAAAAACUUAAUAAAAUAAAACGAAGAACAUCCUAGUGGCUUCUAAAAAACUAAGAACGAACAACUCCUUAAGAACAUUUUCCCAAAUUUUCAUAGAGAUUCAAGCAGUAGAAAAAAAGGUACAGCGCUCCUAACCGCGCGCCUCGUUGCGGCCCGACUUUGAAACUUGCAACUUUAAACGCGAAUAUCUCGAAAUGGUGCUUCUUGAAAAAUGACUUCGCGGUGAUAUGGAUACAUCAAAUUUUUUUUUUAAAUGUUCGUAAUGAAAUUUUUCUGUGCUUGAACGAUUGACUUUUCACGCACAAACUUUUUUUUCGCCGAAAUGAAUCUUUUAGAGAAAUUUCUAGCGACCAAAAAGUUCAUUUUGAGCAUAAAACGUGACCUGUUCGACCUGGGAAAGUAUCACCGCAAGGCUCUUCAAAAAAAAGGCCUCUAAGGGAAACAGCCACCCCUUAAAAACUAUUUAUUAUUUUUCCACGAAAUUUUGCACAAACAUUGUUAAUAAAGUGUACUAUCAAAAAAUUAAAACAUUCGCGUAAUGAAAUAAUUGCUACAUACCUAAAAAAAAUCCAAACUUUCCUCUUUUUCUUCGACAAAGAAGGUAUAUAACCCUUAAAGACAAAGGCGAUAUCAAGAUACUUUAUUGGAAUGAAAAUACAAUAGAAGUGGGCCAAGAUCAGAUAUCUUUAAGUCAGUCUGCUUACAUAAAAAAAGUUUUAAGUAAGUUUAAUGUGGAAGAUUGCAAAUCUGUACAUACUCCACUUUCAAGUAAGCUAGAUUAUGAAAUGUUAAAUUUAGACGAAAUUUAUGAUGCUCCUUGUCGAAAUUUAAUUGGUAGUUUAAUGUAUAUAAUGCUUUGUACACGACCGGAUACAACUACUGCCAUCAAUAUCCUAAUUAUAUAUAUUAUAUUAUAGCUAAGUUCAGAACCCGGGGGGGCAACGCCAACCGAUAGUUCAUCAAGACAUGCUAAAUACUAGAAAAGCAAAGGAGCUAAAAUACCAGUAGUAGGAAAAUACUAGAAAUUCCGAAUGCAGGAAAAGGGCGGAAAAUGGAAAACGGUAACGGAGCGAUCGUGGCGUCUCUCCUCUCGGGAUCGCGGAACGGGUAAGACGUGUGAUCUGGACACGGCCUAGCGAGGCUUCGAAAGUCACGUGUGCCCCUCGAACUUUUCCGCUGGUGGGGAAUCGUAUCACAGGCCAGCCUGGACGCCUGACGCGACCACUCCCCGCCUUCUGAUUGCGCGUGCACUGACAACCGAAGGCGACCAAGUUUUAUGCGGUAGUUACGCGGACGAUUUCAAGACACACAUUUAUAUCUAAACAAGUCAGCUGAGGUUAGUACGACCAGAUUCUCAUGUGCUCAAAACGGACCCGAAAGCGGACCCGAGUGAGGAUAAAUUGAAUAAACGGAAAAGAAUAUAUAAUUGCACCUCUCGAUCGUGUGUUUCCUUCUCGCACCAAGUCUAACCUAACCUUACUCCGUUCACAUUGCUACUUCGGACCUGAAUGUGGACCCUCUUCCCGUUCAGUCCGGUAGUUUCCUACCUCUGUAGUCUUGGGAUCUGCGCGUGGACACCCUUUCCGCCUUAUCCAGAAUCCUAGUUUUUCUGCCUCUUCCGUAGUUUUGGGAUUUGCGCGUGGACACCGUUCCCUUUGCGCGUGGACAACCUUUCCGCCUUAUCCGCAAUUCUAGCUCAUUCGUCGUUCUGGGGCUCGAGCGCGGCCCCGCCCUCGUGCUACCUAACUCCCGGCUUGGCAUCGCCCGAAGGUCCAGCCCGAUGGAUUUUUCGCCUCCGACGCGAAACACAACACUUAUACCCACAAAGUACCCUCCCGGCUUGGCCUCGCCCGAAGGUCCAUUUUUCGCCUCUGACACGAAGUACAAGACUCCGGCUAGCCCGUUAGGUCGUAGCCCUGGAAUUGGACUCUGCAUAACCAACGUCAUCUGCCUUUUCCUCGACGUAAAUAAGGACCUCCGGUUAAGACUCCCCUCAAAGCUACCCGUUCCCCUGUGGAGUGGAACCCUCUAGUUCGGUGUUUCGGUGAUUUACAAAUUUUCUUGUAAAGGACUCUUGGAUCCGACUGAGAUCUGAACCCCUGGCCGAGAAAGCAUCCUUGCAAUAUGAAGCCCAUUUUUAAAAAAAUUUAAAUUAUGAAAAUAUAUUUGUUGGUUAUGUAGACUCAGAUUGGGGUGGAAAUCAGAAUGACAGAAAGAGUACAACUGGUUUUCUUUUUAAAACUCUAAUUUAAUUUGUUGGAAUACAAAGAGACAGAAUUCAGUAGCAGCUUCAUCCACAGAAGCAGAGUAUAUGGGCUUGUUUGAAGCUGUGAAGGAAGCAUUAUAUCCUAAGUCCCUUUUGGAAAGCAUUUAUAUUGAAUUUGAUGGUCCAAUAAAAAUAUUCGAAGAUAAUCAGGAUUGUAUAAGCAUAGCCAGUAAUCCUUCUUGUCAUAUAGAUAUUAAGUAUAAUUUUUCCAGAGAACAAAUAGAGAAUAAUGUUAUUUCCAUCGAGUAUAUUUCUACAGAAAAUCAGCUGGCGGACUUUUUCACGAAACCAUUACCUUCCGGAAGAUUUAUGGAAUUAAGAAGAAAAAUGGGACUACAUAAAGGUGACUAAACUUAACCACAACAAUGGAGAGACAAUGAAAACUAUUUUACAAUUCUAAUUUGUUUUAUUUAUAAUUUUAAUACUUUAAAAACUAUAUUUAACGUACCAAAUGAAUUGAUAAGACUAAAGUCAAGUUUGAAGUUAUGUAACUGAAGUUCCUUCUACAUUUUUUUAUUGAUAUUUGAAAAUAUUGUUAAGUACCUACAUAUAUCUAUAUAUAAUGAUCUGAUUGGGUUUUAUCUGGGUUUUCCCAAUCCUCGCAGCAAAUGCUGGGUCAUAUUGUAAUACCUCCCCAGAAUACAAUUCAGCCAUUUUUAAUGAAAAACGAAUAUAUUUUGAACGUAUAUUUUAAAAUAAUGUAAUUUUUGAGGGGGCGUUUUGAACAUAACAGUGUAUACGCCAUCCCUACUGUUAUGUACAUUACAAAAAUCAACAUUAUAGAAAUCCCUACUUUGAAUAUUCGGGCACACUUUCUGUUUAUCCUUCUCUUUCUGAUCCUCGUGUACAAGUGGCUGGUUGUGUGCAGAAAACAAGAAACAUAAAUUAAUAAUUAAAACAACGAUCAUAAAACAUA